This 508-nucleotide ribosomal RNA is filed under the name uncultured bacterium. RNAcentral's name for it is "bacterial SSU rRNA". It matches the Rfam family "Bacterial small subunit ribosomal RNA", at positions 15 to 518 of the family's 1533-position model. The record is from RNAcentral.
GAUCCUGGCUUAGGAUGAACGCUGGCGGCGUGCCUAACACAUGCAAGUCGAACGAAGCAUACGGACUGGAGAUUCGUCGAAGGACCGUAUGACUUAGUGGCGGACGGGUGAGUAAUGUAUGAGCAACCUGCCUUUCAGAGGGGGACAACAGUUGGAAACGACUGCUAAUACCGCGUAACGUAUCGUGGGGGCAUCCUCGUGAUACCAAAGGAGCAAUCCGCUGAAAGAUGGGCUCAUAUCUGAUUAGCUUGUUGGCGGGGUAACGGCCCACCAAGGCGACGAUCAGUAGCCGGACUGAGAGGUUGAACGGCCACAUUGGGACUGAGAUACGGCCCAGACUCCUACGGGAGGCAGCAGUGGGGAAUAUUGGGCAAUGGGCGAAAGCCUGAACCCCAGCAACGCCGCGUGAAGGAAGAAGGUCUUCGGAUUGUAAACUUCUUUUAUGAGGGACGAAGGACGUGACGGUACCUCAUGAAUAAGCCACGGCUAACUACGUGCCAGCAGCGGC